GCCCAGUAUUAAAUUUAAUUUCACCUUUACGUUCACAUGACAAGUUAUUCUUAAAUCUAGUUUUUAUCCUGUGCUUUGCUACGCCAUGGUAAAAUAGGUUGCCUAUGCCUGCUCUAGUGUUUGUCACUCAGAAAGUCACUAGAGGAGCUACCGAUGUCAGUGUAAAACUCUGCUGUUUUGACCAGUUUCAGCAAAACCAUCUAAUUGGAGUAGUGCUGCAUUUUGCUGAGAUCAUCAAGCUUUUACAUGUUUCUGGACUUAUAAUGAGCUCUCACAAGAUCAGGUGACUGAUGAUUACUCUAUUGCAGAGCCGUGCUCGUUUCGUUAUAAACACAGCAUGGCCUGACAAAAAAAAAAAUCCCAAACAAACACACAAGUGCACAGCUCGGCCAGUGUAUAGCUUCAUUCAGG
This is a non-coding RNA of Pelobates cultripes (western spadefoot toad), 411 nucleotides long. The record is from the annotation of a GenBank genome assembly. Lineage: Eukaryota; Metazoa; Chordata; Amphibia; Anura; Pelobatidae.